CACGUGGGCAAUCUGCCCUGCACUCUGGGACAAGCCCUGGAAACGGGGUCUAAUACCGGAUAUGACUACUGACCGCAUGGUUGGUGGUGGAAAGCUCCGGCGGUGCAGGAUGAGCCCGCGGCCUAUCAGCUUGUUGGUGGGGUGAUGGCCUACCAAGGCGACGACGGGUAGCCGGCCUGAGAGGGCGACCGGCCACACUGGGACUGAGACACGGCCCAGACUCCUACGGGAGGCAGCAGUGGGGAAUAUUGCACAAUGGGCGAAAGCCUGAUGCAGCGACGCCGCGUGAGGGAUGACGGCCUUCGGGUUGUAAACCUCUUUCAGCAGGGAAGAAGCGAGAGUGACGGUACCUGCAGAAGAAGCGCCGGCUAACUACGUGCCAGCAGCCGCGGUAAUACGUAGGGCGCAAGCGUUGUCCGGAAUUAUUGGGCGUAAAGAGCUCGUAGGCGGCUUGUCGCGUCGGAUGUGAAAGCCCGGGGCUUAACCCCGGGUCUGCAUUCGAUACGGGCAGGCUAGAGUUCGGUAGGGGAGAUCGGAAUUCCUGGUGUAGCGGUGAAAUGCGCAGAUAUCAGGAGGAACACCGGUGGCGAAGGCGGAUCUCUGGGCCGAUACUGACGCUGAGGAGCGAAAGCGUGGGGAGCGAACAGGAUUAGAUACCCUGGUAGUCCACGCCGUAAACGUUGGGAACUAGGUGUGGGCG
This 700-nucleotide ribosomal RNA is filed under the name Streptomyces rapamycinicus. RNAcentral describes it as "bacterial SSU rRNA". It matches the Rfam family "Bacterial small subunit ribosomal RNA", at positions 114 to 828 of the family's 1533-position model. Lineage: Bacteria; Bacillati; Actinomycetota; Actinomycetes; Kitasatosporales; Streptomycetaceae. The record is from RNAcentral.